RNAcentral lists this long non-coding RNA (855 nucleotides) under Felis catus (domestic cat). Its description in RNAcentral is "lncRNA (ENSFCAG00000052833.1)". The record is from RNAcentral. Lineage: Eukaryota; Metazoa; Chordata; Mammalia; Carnivora; Felidae.
GUGGGGCGCCUGGGUGGCGCAGUCGGUUAAGCGUCCGACUUCAGCCAGGUCACGAUCUCGCGGUCCGUGAGUUCGAGCCCCGCGUCGGGCUCUGGGCUGAUGGCUCGGAGCCUGGAGCCUGUUUCCGAUUCUGUGUCUCCCUCUCUCUCUGCCCCUCGCCCGCUCAUGCUCUGUCUCUCUCUGUCCCAAAAAUAAAUAAACGUUGAAAAAAAAAUUAAAAAAAAAAAAAAGAAAGAUGUCAAGCCUACAGACGAGAAAAAAAGAUUGAAUUAUGGGUAGGCAGAUGAACCAAGUAGAAAUCCAGCAGUUGGAAUGUAUUAUAAAAGCAAAUAAUAAGAAAUCACUCAAGAAAUAGAACACUUAAAAAUGUUUCUCAGUAUGGUAUAAAAGGGAGAUGGAGAGUUUCUCUUUGCAUCAACAGGAAUUGGGAAAACAUAACUGUCAGAAGAUUAAGUGUUACUUGUGAGUGUUUAGAAAUAUGAUGAAAAUAGAUUAGGUAAUUACAGAAAAUGUCCUUCAGUUGCUUCCCCUGUGUAUCACAAAAAUCAGUUUGAUACUCCUUUUUUUCUUUUUUUUAGUUUUACAAAUUCAGGGCCUUCUUCUCUCAGAGCUGUGAUGGCCAAAGAAGGGAUGCUACCAGAAGUUUGUUGGUCCAUGAGUCUAUCUCCGAUAUUCUCCACCCAGGAUAUACUGCACACUACUGAAGAUUAGAGUUUUUAAAGUCAGACUGGUAAGUCACACGCCAUAUAUAAAGAAAAUAAGAUAGCAUUGCCAAAGGGCUGUGCAAAGCUUUGUAUCAAUUUAUAUUCUUACUGCUUCUUUACUGCAACUAUUGCCACACGAACUCAACAGCAC